GACGAACGCUGGCGGCGUGCUUAACACAUGCAAGUCGAACGGAAAGGCCCUGCUUUUGUGGGGUGCUCGAGUGGCGAACGGGUGAGUAACACGUGAGUAACCUGCCCUUGACUUUGGGAUAACUUCAGGAAACUGGGGCUAAUACCGGAUAGGAGCUCCUGCUGCAUGGUGGGGGUUGGAAAGUUUCGGCGGUUGGGGAUGGACUCGCGGCUUAUCAGCUUGUUGGUGGGGUAGUGGCUUACCAAGGCUUUGACGGGUAGCCGGCCUGAGAGGGUGACCGGCCACAUUGGGACUGAGAUACGGCACAGACUCCUACGGGAGACAGCAGUGGGGAAUAGUGCACAAUGGGCGGAAGCCUGAUGCAGCAACGCCGCGUGCGGGAUGACGGCCUUCGGGUUGUAAACCGCUUUCGCCUGUGACGAAGCGUGAGUGACGGUAAUGGGUAAAGAAGCACCGGCUAACUACGUG
This 468-nucleotide ribosomal RNA is filed under the name uncultured bacterium. RNAcentral's name for it is "partial 16S ribosomal RNA". It matches the Rfam family "Bacterial small subunit ribosomal RNA", at positions 28 to 507 of the family's 1533-position model. The record is from RNAcentral.